Molecule: long non-coding RNA, 108 nt
Organism: Drosophila guanche
Lineage: Eukaryota; Metazoa; Arthropoda; Insecta; Diptera; Drosophilidae
Exons: 3
Source: RefSeq, a predicted model, not a curated record
GAGAGAGAGAGAGAUGAUCAUCAAUCCUAAUUCCUAUUCCCCAUCCUCACACAACUCUAGAUCAUAGAUUUACGAUAUAGGAAUAAAACUAAGUUAUUUCGUAGUCAA